AAAAACAUCUGCGUGUGGCGGAGGGAAGAGAACAGCGGAUCUCACACGUGUCUCUCUGUUCUGACCGGCCAUUCAGGACCGGUCAAAUGCUUAGCCGUUAAGGAAGAUGAAGAAGAAUCGCCAUCGCCACCGGAAGAGGAAAGCAAUGUCAAAAAGCUGUACGGCAGCUAUAGCAACCGGCGGUGGAUUGUGUACAGUGGUAGCCUGGACCGAUCAGUGAAAGUGUGGCGCGUGUCGGAGAACGCGCCGGAGCUGUUGAAACUCCGGGACGCGGAUAGGCCGUACUUAAGCAAGA
This 295-nucleotide unclassified non-coding RNA is filed under the name Hevea brasiliensis (rubber tree). The record is from RNAcentral. Lineage: Eukaryota; Viridiplantae; Streptophyta; Magnoliopsida; Malpighiales; Euphorbiaceae.